Molecule: ribosomal RNA, 465 nt
Filed under: Vreelandella stevensii
Lineage: Bacteria; Pseudomonadati; Pseudomonadota; Gammaproteobacteria; Oceanospirillales; Halomonadaceae
Description: partial 16S ribosomal RNA
Rfam family: Bacterial small subunit ribosomal RNA
Source: RNAcentral
CCUACGGGGGGCAGCAGUGGGGAAUAUUGGACAAUGGGGGGAACCCUGAUCCAGCCAUGCCGCGUGUGUGAAGAAGGCCCUCGGGUUGUAAAGCACUUUCAGUGAGGAAGAACGCCUGGUGGUUAAUACCCAUCAGGAAAGACAUCACUCACAGAAGAAGCACCGGCUAACUCCGUGCCAGCAGCCGCGGUAAUACGGAGGGUGCGAGCGUUAAUCGGAAUUACUGGGCGUAAAGCGCGCGUAGGUGGCUUGAUAAGCCGGUUGUGAAAGCCCCGGGCUAAACCUGGGAACAGCAUCCGGAACUGUCAAGCUAGAGUGCAGGAGAGGAAGGUAGAAUUCCCGGUGUAGCGGUGAAAUGCGUAGAGAUCGGGAGGAAUACCAGUGGUGAAGGCGGCCUUCUGGACUGACAUUGACACUGAGGUGCGAAAGCGUGGGUAGCAAACAGGAUUAGAUACCCUAGUAGUC